This 332-nucleotide long non-coding RNA is filed under the name Ananas comosus (pineapple). RNAcentral describes it as "long non-coding RNA (ACOM_LNC043151)". The record is from RNAcentral. Lineage: Eukaryota; Viridiplantae; Streptophyta; Magnoliopsida; Poales; Bromeliaceae.
AAAAUAAAAAUAAAUUCACAAAUUAGUUAAACAUAAUUUUUUGAGCCACAGGGUGUCAAAGUAAAAAAAAUGUUCUAUAUCAUAGGAUAAUUAAUUGUAACUUUUGAACCGUAGGGUGACAAAGUAAAAAUAUGCUAAACCACAACGAGACAAAUUGAAGUUUACCUAAUAUUAUGUUAUGCAAAUUAUGGUCUAAUUUAGCAUCUGUAAUGUCCCGCUUCCCACGAAUUCACUUAUUCUAGAAUUAUUCUAGUCUAUGCAUUCUCAACCCUUUUAAUAUCUUGGGCUUAAAAGUUCUAAAGAUGCUAAGAUCAUAGAACUUACAAUUUUGU